AGAGUGAACGCUGGCGGCAGGCCUAACACAUGCAAGUCGAACGGCAGCGGGCAGUAGCAAUACUGUGCCGGCGAGUGGCGGACGGGUGAGGAAUACAUCGGAAUCUACCUUGUCGUGGGGGAUAACGUAGGGAAACUUACGCUAAUACCGCAUACGAACCAUGGUUGAAAGCGGCGGACCGCAAGGCGUCGCGCGAUUAGAUGAGCCGAUGUCCGAUUAGCUAGGUUGGCGGGGUAAAGGCCCACCAAGGCGACGAUCGGUAGCUGGUCUGAGAGGAUGAUCAGCCACACUGGAACUGAGACACGGUCCAGACUCCUACGGGAGGCAGCAGUGGGGAAUAUUGGACAAGUGGGGGGUACCUACCGUA
Molecule: ribosomal RNA, 367 nt
Filed under: uncultured soil bacterium
Lineage: Bacteria
Description: bacterial SSU rRNA
Rfam family: Bacterial small subunit ribosomal RNA
Source: RNAcentral